GUGAAUAUAGUUUAACAAAAACCCUAACUUGUGAUUUUAGAAAUGAGAGUUAACACCUCCCUAUUCACC
Molecule: transfer RNA, 69 nt
Filed under: Hyla chinensis (Chinese tree toad)
Lineage: Eukaryota; Metazoa; Chordata; Amphibia; Anura; Hylidae
Description: tRNA-His
Rfam family: tRNA
About the family: Transfer RNA (tRNA) molecules are approximately 80 nucleotides in length. Their secondary structure includes four short double-helical elements and three loops (D, anti-codon, and T loops).
Source: RNAcentral